GUUCAAUCCCCAGAACCAUACACACAAAAAGUGGUUGAGUCCUUUUUAGGCUGAGAAAGUCAAGUAUGUCUUCUCUUCAUACGGAAAGAUGACUCGACUGAUCCAUCUAGGAUGUUUGAUCCAUCGCAUAUGUUUGGGGAUUUUGAGGCAGUCGUUGUUUUGAAACAUUCCCUCACUUGCCCAUUUAUUUUCUCUGUGGACCCAGGAGAGCUCAGCCCAGGGAUGUCUUAUCUCCAGCCAAAGCUGGAAACAGCAGAUUAUGUAGCUUGGGGCUAACACAGCCACUGCUGUUUCAUUUCCCUGGACUUAAAGAGCCAAGAAUGUUUGCAUAUCUUGCAUAUCCCACAUGUCCCACAUACCCCUUCCCUGUGGCUUCCCUCCUGCCCCUCCAAAGCCUGCUGAUAGUCUACCGUGAGUCCCUAUCUCUCCCUCUGUGCCUUCCUCUGUGGUGGGGGUGAUAUUUCUGUGGUCAGAGUUCUUGGAAAGCUUGCAUGUUGGAGGCUAUGGAAAAUAGGCUGAAGGUGGAUCAGUCAUUCCUUCGUUCAACCAACUCCUAUCAAAUGCAAGCAUGUAGGACUUACAGUAUUGGAGAUCCCUUAGGCACAAACCCCAUAGCUGCUUGACAUCGAAUUAGUGUUGUAUCACUGCCACCUGUGAGAAAUAAUGUAGGGGCACUUGGGCUGAAAGGUAAAAGAAAGCUAUCAUUGAAGCUGCUCCUUUUGCCAGGUAUGGUUGCACACACCUGUCAUCCCAGCACUUGGGAAGCUGAGGCAGGAGGAUUGCUGAGGGUUCAAGGCCAGCCAGCCUGUGCUACAUAGUUCAAGGCCAGCUGGACUACAUAGCAAGGCCCUGUCUUAAAAAAAAAAAAAAAAAAAAGGAAAUGCCUAGUACAGUCAUUCACCAGCCACAAUGUUUAAUUUUGGGGGGGGAAGUGGUACUGGGGAUCGAACUUGGGGCCUUGCACUUGUGAGGCAGGCGACGGCAGAACCACUGAGCUAAAUCCCUGGCCCCAUGAUGUUUUAUACUAGUUUCCUGCUUCCAGUUGUAAGAAUGCAAUGUUCACUUUCAUCCCUAAUGCCCACUGCCCAGUGAAUUUCAUACUCCUUAUGUAUAUAGAAGAACUACUGAGAAGACCCUGGAAUAAACAACACACACACAAUUAAUAAAUACUCAGAUAAAUGCUAUCUGAUAAGAGAUGACUGGCUGAGCAUUUGUUGAGCAUCUGCUAUGGGCAGGUACUAUGUUAGGUUUCUAGGAGGCCCUACAACACAUGCCACUCCUCUUGCUCCACUGUCAGAACUCAUCGCCUACUGCCUACCACUCUGCCCCAGCUACAUCAGUCUCCCUGUCCCUCAGACCCGCCAGGUAUGCUCCCAACAAAGGGCCUUCGUGGAGCUGUUCCCUUAGCCUGGCACUUUCUUCCCC
RNAcentral lists this long non-coding RNA (1425 nucleotides) under Heterocephalus glaber (naked mole-rat). RNAcentral describes it as "lncRNA (ENSHGLG00100044496.1)". The record is from RNAcentral. Lineage: Eukaryota; Metazoa; Chordata; Mammalia; Rodentia; Bathyergidae.